This 13009-nucleotide long non-coding RNA is filed under the name Homo sapiens (human). Its description in RNAcentral is "non-protein coding lnc-AIG1-8:5". Lineage: Eukaryota; Metazoa; Chordata; Mammalia; Primates; Hominidae. The record is from RNAcentral.
GCACAGCCCAAACACACAUGUCCCUUCCCGAUCCCCCGCCAGACGGACAGACAAACACGCAUGCAAACCGCCCCCACCCGUCUCCACGCGCCCGGGUCCAGCCGGCAGCGGCCAGAGCCGCUCUGCAGCCGGUGCACCCGCAAGGCGAGGGCGCCUCCGCCUGAACCUUCCAUCGAGACAGUCCCCUCCUUCCUCGCUUCCUUCCUUCGCUCCUUCCUUCCUUCCUUCCUUGCCCGGGAGGUAAAGGGAGUCACUGAAAUGCCCAGAGCCAGCGCCUUCGCUGCGCUCGCUCGGCCGCAGGCCGGCGGCCCGGGCCUCGCGCCGCCAGCCCGCCCGGCCGCCUGCGCCGCGCGCCGCGGCCCCCUCCCCCGCUACCUGACAACGGGCCGCCGCCGGCCGCCGCAGCCGCAGCGGUGGCCGGGCCGUGCGCGCCGGUGCACGUCGCUCAUUAGUAAGCAGGCACAUUCCUGCCUCCAGCGCUCCCGCGCGGCCCCCUCCCCCCAGGACAUUACGCAAAGCAGCCUCCCCUCAUCUGCAUAGAUCCGCGGCCAGGGUAUUCCCCGCAUUUCCCCACGCGCCCGACACCCCUCCCGCGGUCUCCCCCAUCCCCGCCCCCUCCGACCCUCACCCUCGGGCCACCGGGAAGGGGCUGGGGGCACACGCCGGGGAGCGGGGGACGGAGUUCGGCGGCGGCGAUUCCAAUAUAAAGUGAAACAAGCUCCCAGCGCCGAAGGAGGCAGGAAAAACCCAGCGUCCAGGCCACUUACCGAGCCGAGGAGGGACCUAGAUUCCCGCCGCUCCGCUCUCGCGGUGGCCGGUCCGCCCUCCGCGCACCCCGAGGCUGCACCCAGCACCCCAGACGCGAGACGUGGAGGAACGCUGUGAACGAGCCGGGAGACCCUCCAAGUUGCUCUGGGCUCCGUGGAGCGUCAAGGUCCAAGACACAACUUGGCAAAGACUUGUGCCACAGUCACCGAAGAUGUUUGUGCGGAGACCCUCCUGCGGGGAACGACGGCGCUCGGCGGCGCCCCGCUCUCCUCCUCUCCACCCCCUCACCUCCAGCCCGCCUCCCGCCGGCCGCCCGCCUCCGGGCCGCGAGCCCCUCGGGCGGCUGUCAGCUCCCGGCCGCCGCCGGGUGACAGGGGCGGGAGGAGGGCGCGACGCGGCGGCCCGAGCCCCAGCGGGCGAGGGGGAUCCUCGCAGCCGCGGCGGCCGCUCACCUGGAAAGUCACCGCUGAGGAGGAGGAGAAGGAGGACGGGGAGGAGGAGGGAGAGGAGGAGGGGGAGGAAACCCCCCUGGUGCCCUUGUUCUCGCUGCCGCGGCGGCCGCUCCUCGCCAAGGCUGAGCGUGUCUGGUGGGGGGUGUCUGGUAGCAUUUCCUUAAGGACAGAGGGAGGGCGGGCGCGGAGGGAGGGAAAAGAUCCCGACCGCCAGCCCAGGCUCCUCUUGCCUUUAUUUAUUUUUCUGACACUGUACGGAGAUGGGCCCGGGGCAGGGGCCGCCGGGCUCAGGCGGGAGCCGCGAGGCCCGGGCCGCAGCUGUCUGCGUGCGGGAGCCGCAGCGGCCGCCUCCCCUCCCGGGCUGUGGACGCACCGGGUUAUUCCUGGCAGCGCCUCCCCGAACAGAAGUUACUAGGAGGAGUGCGCGGCGAGGGCGGACGGGGGGAGAGGCGGAGGGAGGGAGGGAGGAAGAGGGAGAGACUCAGCCAACGACGUCAUCGGAUCCCCCAGCGCGUCCCAGGGAGGGAGGCUGAACCAGAAAAACCAGUCUGGAGCCAGUGAGCGAGAGAGGGAUGUGCGGCGCGCGGGGCGACGGGGGAGGGAGGCGGUCGGGAGGGCAGGGCCGGGCCCCACGGCUGCCGCUGCGGGCGGGGAGAUCGCGGCCGCGCACUCGCUCGGUCGGAGCGGGGAACUCCCCGGAGAGCUGGUCUCUACUUGUCAUGCAAAAAAACUUGGGCAUCUCUAGGAGCCUGAGAAUUUCCUUUAAGGAUGUGGAAACGUCCUCCGUCCCCACCCCUUCCCCAUUUCCCAGAGAAUCGUUGUCUGCCUUCCUGACGAACGGAAUUGUAUAAUUAGUAGUGCCCUUAGAUUUGGAACCAGUACUCCGGAUCCCUGGCCUCUCCUCGCCCCCUGCCUCUACUCACAAUUAUGUUAUCGGUCAAGAAAAGCAAAAUCAGACUGUGGCUCCCGGCUGGGUUUCUGGAGCUUUGUAGGGUUUUACUAGCACUUUCCGUGCCCCUGCGGGCGCGCGAACUAUUCACGUGCUCGAAACGCCCGGAUUACCUUCCCUGAGGUCACUCACCAGGGUGCCCCCGGCACCCCCAGUUCGGGGACCGCGGCCCGCCCUCGCCAGGGGAUUCAAAUAGGUGUGGGCAGCGGCGCGAAGAGCAGCUGCCGGUUUCCUGGUGGGCCGCGCUGGAACCUCGGGGCGAGCUGCCACCUUCAGCCUGUGCGCUUCCCUCUCCACGGAAGGGACCGGAGUUGAAAUCACAACCAACCCUGGGAGAGCGGGGCCGGGAGGCGGGGGAAUCCCAGGCGAGUGGGAGCCGAAGCUCUGGGCUUCCUCCCCGGCCGGGCGACACCCGGGGGACACCGGGGCUCUCUCGGGCCGUUACCCUGCCUAUGUGGACUGGUGUGCACCCUCGGGGGAGGUUCCUAGGGUGCCACGGUGCCCGAGCGCGACGAGUGACUGCUGGGGAGGGGGGCCGGGUCCCGGAGCGCCUCCUCCGGGUGGUCUCCCCCCCAGCGGGGACCGCGCGCAGCACCUCGCGGGCGCCCCAGCCCCCGCACCCUGCGGAGCAGAGCCGAGCGCCCAGGACGCCGCGGGCCCCAGCGGUCCUCCCCACCCCCUGGCCGCGCCGCCGCCCUGCCCGGGGCGGAGUAAACAAGAGACGCGCAAGAUUUGACCUGGCGCGACCCGGCUUUCUGGCCGGGGUUCCCCCUGAGCAGGUGACUCCGUGGGAGGGGUGGAAAUGAGUCUCUGGAAUUCCGGGCCAAAGACAAUAACUGUGGUUCUGCUUUUAAAGCAGGUAUUUCACCAGCAACUGCGGAAUGUUUUGUGUCUCCAGUUUCAAAUUUCGCGGAAAGGGACCAAAUGUGAGGACAUAUAAAAUAUCCCCUUCUCUUUUCAUUAAAAAUGAGUGCAUUACAAAGGAAGGGCAGCCCCUUAAUGCCUGCGAGAAUAGCGCUGCUGGUUUCGUUUUUGUUUUGUUUUGUUUUGUUUUUCAUUCUGACCCACAAUCAGUGUAUUUUUGAGGUCCCUAUGCAAUGGCGACGGUGCCGUGAAGGGCAACUCAGCAAAAUAAAGCGGUGAUACAUUUUUUAACCGAUUUUUUUCUCAGAGGAGAAAAAUCUGAACAAUUUGGCCUAAGUUUCACUUUGUCCUUCUCUUAGGUUGAUCUCAUUUAAAUUCAGGGCCUACUUCCACUUAAGCAACUUCUUCUUUCAUUGUAUAGGUUCUUUAAUAUCCAACCUUUUUAAACUUAACUUGAAGCCUUUAAUUUAAAAAACUGUCCCAAUCAUCAUUUUCUUUUCAAUGUAUGCAGUUGCAUUUUAAACAUCCAUUUAACACACAAAAUGUGAUUUUUGAAAUUUUUUUCACUUUCAAACCCACCUGCUACAUACUCCCAGAGAGCGUUUUAUUUAAUUGCUUAAUAGAGAAGAUUAAGCAGUUUCUUUAAGAAUCCAAUUUCCCUUCAACAAGCACAACAGCAGCUGCCCAAGCUCCCAGAAACUAAGCAAAGGCAAGUAGCAGGCAGCGUUUUGCUUCACUAGAAUGAAUGUUAGUUGAAACCUUAAAUACCUCUUUAAAAGACUAGAUUAAAGAGAAUAAUGGGAAUAUUAAGAUACUCCGGUAGUUAGUUAAAAUAUUUUUUAAGGAAAACCAGGCAGAUAUACAUCUAUUUUGAUGAUUUGAUCCCACCUUCAAAGAGGAUCCCUGAAAAGAGUUUUAGUCACAAUUUGACAAAUUUUAAAUAAUUACUUUGUUUCAGAGUCAUGAGGAUGGAAAGAAGAUAGCCUGCGUUGAGUUGAAGUAAAGUAAAAAUAUUAUGAAUAUGUGUAACUAGGUGACAUCCUCUCUGCUGGGAAGAAUCCUUUUUUUUUUUUUUUUUUUUUUUCUGGUGACAGGUUCUUGCUCCAUCACCCAGGCUGGAGUGCAGUGGCAUGAUCUUGGCUCACUGCAGCCUCUCCCUUUCAGGCUCAAGCAAUCCUCCCACCUCAGCCUCCCGAGUGGAGGGGGAGCCACUGCAGAUCUGGAGCAAAUCAGCACCAGCCACUCCAGAGCCUGACCUACAUAGGACUCAGAAAGCAUUGUCUAUUGUGAUUGAUUAUUCCUGUGUUCAGUCCCAAUGGCCUAUUGAUUGGGGGUUUCUCUCCAAAAGGCUGCAUGGCUUUUCUUCUCUAAGUGAAUCUCCUUUAUAACCCAUAUUUUAUGUCUAUAUACCAAACAUGCUAUCCAUAUUUAGUCAAUGUCCAGUUGCUUGCAUGUAAGGGCAAUAGAGUAAUCAGAAAACUCUUCCCAGAAAGCCCCCGAAGACAAAACUAGUACUGGUAGAAAACUGGGCAUGCAGCUCUAAGAAACUCUAUGGGAAGUGAGGCUGGGUGGGGCACAGCUGCCCCAGCCUGGCACCCAUAUGGAGCAUCAGCAAGGAAGUAGGAACUUUCUUUUCAUCAUGCAUCCUUCUUAUCACUUCUCAGUUUCAAAGGGAAAGAAAAUUUGGUAAUCUGCAUUUUGAGACAUUAAGAAAAUAAAAUAAUUAAUGGCUUCAUGGUUAUAUGGCAUUUUUCAGAGUAUUGUCAGAAAAUCAUUUCGAACUGAAAUUUUCAUUCAAAAAUAUUUAUUGAAUGCCGGCUAUGUGCUGAAGAUUCUUAAGAUACAUCAGUGAACAAAUCAAAGUUCCCUGCUUUCUUGGAGCUUGCAUUCCAGCGGGAGGAGAGGAUUUGGAGGAAGAAUGGGAUAGACAAUAAAUCACAAGACCUCCUGCCACAGAGCAUGGGACCUGAUAUAUCCAGGCAGGAGAACUGGGUACCAGGAGACACUGUACAUGAAGUUUCCAGAACCAGCCAUGUCCAUCUUACUAAUCAAGACUCUCUCUGUUAAAUCUGCAACUCAAAUGACUUUAAGGAAAAAUGGAUUUCAUUGAUUCACAUAACCAUCACUCAAGGACUAACUUUCAACAUAGUGAGAUCCUGAGGCUCAAAUAUUAUUACCCGGGUUCCAUGAACUGCUUCCUCUGACAUGAGAUCUAACAAGGCUAAAGACUAAAAUGCAGCUGUUUACAGCGUAAGUAGGAGGCCGUCCCGUGCAGUGCAAAAUCAACAGAGAGGAGACAGUCCUAUGCCUUCGAGAGACAGUCUGCUGAUACUGUCAUGAUGUCUAGUGACAGGCCAGAGAUCAAAACCCAACACCCUCAUUUACCUGACAGUGAUUUGGCCAAUCCCUUAACAUCUCUAAGAGCUUCAUUUUUCUACAAAAUUGAGACAAUAGUAUUUGUUUCAUAGUGUUACUGUCAGGGUUAAAUGUUAUACAUUAAGCAUUUAAUAUAUGCUGCUUGUUUAUCUAAAUAUUCAUGGUCAGGCACUAACUUCUUAUGUGACUCUGAGCAAUGCAUUCAUCUCUGUACCUGUUUCCUCAUCCAUAAAUUGGGAGUUGAACAAGGUGAGCCCUAAGUUUCGUUCCAACUUCAAUAUUCUAUAAUUCUUGCAACUUAUAUGGCCUCAGUUUUCUUAUCUUUAUAAUGGGCAUAAGAGUACCUACCUCACAGAAUUUUUGAGAGGAUAAAAUGAAUUAAGACAGGUAGAAAAUUCUUAGAACAGUGCCUGCCACAUUGGAAGUGCUUAAUAUGUAUUAGCUGUGAUGAUGCUGCUAAUGAUGAAGAUGAUAAUGACCCUAUUUGCAGAUAGUAUGGCAGCCAUAAAACAUUCAGUAUCAGAUUGAUUACAUUCUCUUAUUUUCUGAGUCAAUGCCAGAGCUACCAAGAUUUUAUUCUUUAAAGGUUCUUCAAGACUAAAUUCUUUUUACAUGAUAUGAUUAUUACACAUUGUAUGUCCGUAUCAGACCAGCCUGGCCAACAAGGUGAAACCCCAUCUCUAAAAAUACAAAAAUUAGCAGGGCAUGGUGGCACGCACCUGUAGUCCCAGCUACUCGGGAGGCUGAGGCAGGAGAAUCACUUGAACCCGGGAGGCAGAGAUUGCAGUGAGCUGAGAUCGUGCCACUGCACUCCAGCCUGGCAGAGUGAGACUCCAUCUUAAAAAAUAAAUAAAUAAAUAAAUAAAUAAAUCUCAUGUACUCCAUAGAUAUGGGGUACCUACUAUGUACUCACAAAAAUUAAUUUUUUUUUAGAAAAGCCUAAGCUCAUUUGCUUCUUAGUAAGAAUUAUGUUAAGAUUUCCCAGUGUAGAUACCCUAGGCUGCUAAUUUUUUUUCUUUUGUUAUCAGUAUCUUAAGAAAUUAAUUGGCCCGGGAGUGGUGGCUCAUGCCUGUAAUCCCUGCAGUUUGGAAGGCCAAGAUGGGAGGAUUGUUUGAGGCCAAGAGUUCAAAACCAGCCUGGGCAACAUAGUGAGAUACUAUCUGUAUAUAAAAUAAAAAAAUUAGUGAGGCAUGGUGUCAUAAGCCUGUGGUCCCAGCUACUUGGGAGGCUGAGGUGAGAGGAUUGCUUGAGCCCAGGAGGUCAAGGCUGCAGUGAGCUGUGAUGGUGACACUGCACUCCAGCCUGGGCUAUAGAGCAAGACCCUGUCACCCUCCUCAAAAAAAAAAAAAAAAAGCAAUUAAUUGAUUUAUUUAUGGCCAUUCUCUCUUUUUGUGAGCUGGAUAUGUGUUCACUUUCAUUCUAAAAACGUACAGCCCCCAAAGCCCACACAUGUUGUCAAAGCUCACUACAUUUACCUAGAGAGUUUCCUGUAGUCUCCUCUUUCAAGUAUUUUAAAUAAUGCGUAAUUUCUUCAUGUAACUGAAACAUGUUAAUGUUGAGUUGGCACAGGAAGAAAAGUUUUGAUUUACUCAGAACUGGGAUUUGUGUGGGUCAUUUCCUAGUCCUCCUAAGUAUUUAACAAAUGUAAAAUGUAACACACAAUUAAAUAAGCUACCCAAGCCAAAUGAACUGGUGAGUGCAUUAUAAAUAGCAACCAAAAUUAUUCUUCAGUUGUUAACUGGUAUGUCCUGAUUUAAUAAUGAAUUACAUCAUUUGACAAAUGAGAUAAGACUUCCACCUUUAGCUUUCUGAUCCAAACUUCUAAUAGUUGAAAUGUAUUAUUACCAUCUGGUGUCUGGCCUCUGAAAUGCCCUGGCGAUAUCUGCCUCAUUUCAAGUAGUUGGGGCUUGCAUAUGCCAGCAAAGCACUCUCCGAAGUGUCUUGAUUGGCAGGCCCAGAGAGAAGGCUAAGAACCGAAUGAACCAUGGAGAUAUAGCUCCAGCUCUGUAGAAGUUUCCUCUGGUUCAAGGCAGACUCAUUUUCUUAGUUUGUGCAGCAAAAAAAUUGUCAUGAUCGAAGUUGUUUUUAUUUUGGAUCUCAAUCCUGAAGGAUGCAAUUCCUAUACUUACCAAGAAUGUUUCCAUCUGUUUUAAAUUAUUUCACUCCUUUUACAAACUGGCAAUAAUUUUAACACCUUUUAUUUUCAGUGAAAAUAAUUCGAGAAUGAAGCUGAGAAUGAUACAUAAGCCUAGAGUUUUAACUCAGUGAAGUAAUAUGAUUCUGACAGUUCUUUAUUUUUUCCACAUUGUGUUAGAUUCCUAGUAAAAAGGGAAGAUGAAUCUUAUUGCUUUCAAAAACCUGACAAUAUGGUAUGUAGGACAGAAUGAACAUACAUAGAACAAUAUCCAAUAACACAGAUGAAGGUGUCAAAGCCAUUGCCAGACAGAGUGGUGCAGAUUGUGAGAUCAGUUUUCUUGGUAAGUGUUAUGGACUGAAUGUUGGUAUUCUCUAACAUUCAUAGAUUAUAAUCUAAUCCCCAAUGUGAUGGUAGCACUAUCUGGGGGUGAGACCUUUGGGAAGUAAAGGUCUUUUUCUCUCCACACCUGACCAAAAGUAGGAGCUCAACAAAUGUAUGUGCACUGAAAUGGAAUGGGGGCAAACAGCCUGGUGGUAUAGUACAAAGCAAAAUUUGGUUAUGGUAGGAGCAGUACAGAUACAUCUGGAUCACAAUCUAAAUUCUCUCCAGGGACCAAAUACAUAGAUUUACCCCUUGGGUUAUUGGUCUGGUAGACUCUUAAUUUUUAAUAGGGUUUAUAUAAUCUAGACUUCUUAUAACCUCUGCCCCACUGGAUAUAGGUAUUACUCAGUUGAAGUUAAAAAUUGAAUAUAGGAUUAUAUGCAAUGCUUUAUCUAUAACUUUCUUGUAAGGAUAAACUCAGUACAUCUCUGGUUUUCUAAUAUUUUGGAGGAAAUGUUACAAAUAGGUAAGGAAAGUUUGAGCCUCAUUUACGCAUGAGGGUGGACCCCUCCUGAAUGAGAUUAAUGUCCUUAUAAGAAAAGGCCAGAGAGCUAGCUCACUCUCUUUCAGCAUGUGAGGACACAAGAAGCCCAGAGUCUGCAACCUGAAAGAGGGCCCUCACUAGAACCCAAUCAUGCUGACGCUGUGAUCUUGGACUUUCAGGCUCCAGAACUGUGAGAAAUAAAUUUCUGUUGUUUAUAAGCCAUCCAUUUCAUGACAAUUUGUUAUAGUGGCCUGAACAAAGACAAUAGGUAUAAAAGAGAAUUGAUAAAGAUGAAAUUUAGGAAUACAAUUAGAAGUGAAAUGCAAAUAACAAGAGGGUGACCCCGGAGUAGAAAAGUGUCUGUGUCUGGUAGAUUUGAAUAGUUUACAAAUGCCAAGCCUGUGCAAAAUAGGAGUUACCAAUAUUAAUGGCUGCAUCAUUACAAGGUGUAUCCAAAAGACACUUAAGAUUAAGUCUGUGUUUGUCAGUGGGGAGGUGAGAGUAGGAAAUGUUAAAUAACCUGCCCUUUGUCACUCAGCCAACAAGUAAGAGAGCAGGGAAUCAAGUUCAGAUCUAAGUCCUCUAAAGUUAUUCCCCAAACUCCUCACAGCUUCACUUAAUAACCAUUUCCUGCUUUGGUUGACUUUACAAAGAUGACCAUACAUUUGAGAGCAAAAGGGGAAGCUAUGAAUCAUUACAUCUGGACAAAUGGCAUGAAUCAAGAUCAUCCACUGCCAACUAGAGUGUAUGUUCAUCUUCUGUCUAUAUAUCUUCAUUCCCAGACAUCUACCAGACAUCCAGUGACUUAUCUGAGAAGUACACUUGGAGGUCAGUUUCUUGGAGUAAAUUGAUCAAAGUGUUAAAAUUCUGGAAAGUUAUUGUAUUUUAAAAUAGUUCACACAAAAAAAUAGUACAAUGAAAUGAAUCACUAUUAGUGGAAUUUCAGGCCCUCAGGUACCUGAUAAUAAGAACUCUUUCAAAACAACAUAACUUUCCUGGUACCUGUCAAAUCACAAUUUCUAUAUGAGAUAUGGCCAGCUGGGUAUUCAAGGAUAAUUGGUCAGCUACUGUGAUGAUUAAUAUGGAGUGUCAACUUGUUUGCAUUGAAGGAUGCAAAGUAUUGUUCCUGGGUUUGUCUGUGAGGGUUGUAUUAGUCUGUUUUCAUGACACUGAUAAAGACAUAUCUGAGACUGGGCAAUUUACAAAAGAAAGAGGUUUAUUGGACUUUCAGUUCCACAUGGCUGGGGAGGCCUCACAAUCAUGGUGGAAGGUGAAAAGCACAUCUCACAUGGCGGCAGACAAAAGCAGAGAGCUUGUGCAGGGAAACUCUCAUUUUGAAAACCAUCAUAUCUCAUGACACUUAUUCACUAUCAUGAGAACAUCAUGGGAAAGACCUGCUCCCAUGAUUCAAUUACCUCCCACUGGGUCACUCCUACAACACGUGGGAAUUCAAGAUAACAUUUGGGUGAGGAUACAGCCAAAUCAUAUCAAGGGUGCUGCCAAAGGAGAUUAACAUUUGAGUCAGUAGACUGGAAGAGGCAGACCCACCCUCAAUCUGAGUGGUUACCAUCUAAGCAUCUGCCAAUGCAGCUAGAAUAAAGCAAGCAGAAGAAAGUGGAAUGAGAAGACUUGCUGAGUCUUCUGGUCAUCAUCUUUUCCCCAUGCUGGAUGCUUCUUGCCCUUGAACAUCAGACUCCAAGUUCUUCAGCUUUCAGACUCUUGGACUUAGAGCAGUGGUUUGCUAGGGGCCCUCAGGCCUUCAGCCACAGACUGAAGCCUGCACUGUCGACUUCCCUACUUUUGAGGUUUUGGUACUUGGAUUGGCUUCCUUGCUCCUCAGCUUACAGCUGGCCUAUUAUGGGACUUCACCCUGUGAUCGUGAGUCAAUUAUCCUAAUAAACUCCCCUUCAUAUAUACAUAUAUAUUAUUAGUUCUUACCUCUAGCGAACCCUGACUAAUACAGAUUUCUAGAUGUACAGAUGGAUUGAGAGGCAAACACUCUAAAUUAACAAGGCAGAAAUGAAAGAGCUGUUCUGCCCAAGAUCUUCAGCACUGCUCAGACCUCUAUAAGAAUUUCUUAUCCAGUUCAAAACUUAUCAACUUAAGAAAAAUAUAGAAAAUUUGUAAAGCAUUCAGAAGAAACUAAAGACUAAAGCAAAAUGAUAUGUUCAAAUACUUAACACUGCCAAAAUGUAAUGCAUUUCAAUAAAGUGAUAUAUGUCCUUAACUCACACAAAUUAAUAAAUGUCUAAUAGACAUACAUAUGGGAAGUGAAUAUCAAAUGCCUGUGUACUAUUUGUAUAAAAUCUAAGUUAAAACUCAUUUCCAUCCCAAAGAUGUGUGAUAUGUAAAAUAAUAUUCUACGUAUUUUGUUUAAUUUUGGGGGGUCAUUUAAGAUUUUUUUAUUUGCAGAAAAAAGAUGCUACAAACAAAAUUAAUGGGAAAAAACAAAAAUUAGUACCAAAAGAGGAAACGAGGACAAGGAAAAACACGAGCACAUAGAAAAAUGUAAAAAUACUCAAGCCAGGCUCAGAGAACCAGCAUCCCUGACAGCAAGUGUUGUUAAACAUCCACGUGGGUUGCUAAGGAAGGUUAGGGAAUCUCCCUUUCCCAGAAGUCUUUAAAAAUAGGAUAACAUCUGUUUGGAUGGGAUAAUGGUGGUACUGCUUGACUUGGCAGCUUCUUAAGCAAACCUAUGGUUUGGUAAUUCUACCAUUUCUAUUUCUGAUUUGAAAAGUAACAAAUAACUUCAGUUCACCUAGAAAAUUGGGCCUUAUAAUGACUUGUAAUAUUGUCUUAUAAAACUAUUUUCAUUGUCAUUAAUAGUGCAAAGGUAGAUAAUUGAGGUUUUCAGAGUAUACUUGAAUUUGCAGCCAAGGCUCAAACUUUCCUUAUCUAUUUGUAACAUUUCCUCCAAAAUAUUAGAAAACCAGAGAUGUACUGAGUUUAUCCUUACAAGAAAGUUAUAGAUAAAGCAUUGCACAUAAUCCUAUAUUCAAUUUUUAACUUCAACUGAGUAAUGCCUGUAUUCAGUGGGGCAGAGCUUAUAAGAAGUCUAGAUUAUAUAAACCCUAUUAAAAAUUGGAGUCUGCCAGACCAAUAACCCAAGGGGUAAAACAUAUAUAUUUGGUCCCUGGAGAGAAUUUAGACUGUGAUCCAGAUGUAUCUGUACUCCUCUUACCAUAACCAAAUUUUGCUUUCUACUAUACUACCAGACUGUUUGCCCCCAUUCCUUUUCACUGCACAUAUAUUUGUUGAGCUCCUACUUUUGGUCAGGUGUGGAGAGAAAAAGCCCACAGUCCCUGCCCUUGAGGAACACAUAAUCCAAAAAAAAAUGCAUGGGUGGCUCCAGGUGUUGUAGGGUCUUAGGCAAGUAUAAUUUUGGACAUGCAUUUUAAGAAAAAGAAUACAAAAUUACAAAUGCAGAAUUACUAAUAAAAGUGAAUAUUUAUUGUAUAGAGAAAAUUAAUCACAACAAAUUACAAGUUUUAGCAUUCUCACAAAUGCCAGAAAUACCACAAAAUCUCAGAAAAAAACCUAUAUUUUGUAUUAAUUAGCUGACUGAUCACAUGUAUAAUUCUACGUGUUCUACUUUUGGUUGCAUAUUGUUGACCACAUGAGAAAAAUUUCUUUAUUUACUUAUUCAGAUGGAGUUUCGCUCUGUCGCCCAGGCUGGAGUGCAGUGGCGCUAUCUCAUCUCACUGCAACCACUGCCUCCCAGGUUCAAGCGAUUCUCCUGCCUCAGCCUCCCGAGUAGCUGGGACUACAGGGGCAUGCCACCAGGCCCAGCUAAUUUUUGUAUUUUUAGUAGAGACGGGGUUUCACCAUGUUGGCCAGGAUGGUCUCAAUCUCUUGACCGCAUGAUCCACCCGCCUCGGCCUACAAAAGUGCUGGGAUUACAGGCGAGAGCCACCACGCCAGGCCAAGAAUUGUUUAUAUUAUUUUCUAUACAGAGAAAACAGUGAUAAUUUAUUCAGUCAUUCCUUUGGCAUGAUUGAAAUUUGUUUUCUUUCUGGCUCACAACUCUUUAAUAAUUAUAAGUAAGUUUUCAGGAUUGUUGUCAAGUACAGGAAAACUUCAGUCAAAUUUCUUUCAUAUAUGAACUGCAAGAGCUAUAAGAUUUCAGGGCAUUGAUAAUUUUCUUGCAUGUAAGUAAUUUUAAAUACUCUUUCAAUUGAUGUUACUCAUUAACCAGCUUGUCACUGGUGUCCUUGUUGUAAUGGUGUAGUGUGAGUUCAAUUUUAUCUCUGUCAAUGUCAGGAUUGUGUAUCAAAUUUGAAAGAAAUUUAAGUAUUUUCUCAAAGAGUUCAUGUGAUUCAGUCCUCUGGGUUAAAUGUGUUAUCAAAAACUAAAAAGCCCAUUCAGUACUUCCCUCUUCCUGUUAAUGAAUUAUUGCUCUUUGUAUUAUCUAAAAAUAUUUCUGUUACAAUUUACUUCUUGAUGUCAAAGUGAUUUCUAUUUGACUUUAUCUCUCAAUUGUUUUUUCAUAUCCUAUCAAAUUUCAUCUGCAUUUUCUCCCAGUUUCUUAUUACAUUAAUUCAUAGAUGACAAAAGAGUUACUCUUCAUAUAUGCCCAUAUUAGGAGUCAUUGAUUUCUG